UAGGGAAUCUUCCACAAUGGGCGCAAGCCUGAUGGAGCAACGCCGCGUGAGUGAAGAAGGUUUUCGGAUCGUAAAGCUCUGUUGUAAGAGAAGAACGUGUGUGAGAGUGGAAAGUUCACACAGUGACGGUAACUUACCAGAAAGGGACGGCUAACUACGNGCCAG
This 165-nucleotide ribosomal RNA is filed under the name uncultured bacterium. RNAcentral's name for it is "partial 16S rRNA". It matches the Rfam family "Bacterial small subunit ribosomal RNA", at positions 355 to 511 of the family's 1533-position model. The record is from RNAcentral.